RNAcentral lists this ribosomal RNA (457 nucleotides) under uncultured Pseudomonas sp. RNAcentral describes it as "bacterial SSU rRNA". It matches the Rfam family "Bacterial small subunit ribosomal RNA", at positions 924 to 1382 of the family's 1533-position model. The record is from RNAcentral. Lineage: Bacteria; Pseudomonadati; Pseudomonadota; Gammaproteobacteria; Pseudomonadales; Pseudomonadaceae.
CACAAGCGGUGGAGCAUGUGGUUAAUUCGAAGCAACGCGAAGAACCUUACCAGGUCUUGACAUCCCUGACAACCGAGAGAUCGGCGUUCCCCUUCGGGGGACAGGGUGACAGGUGGUGCAUGGUUGUCGUCAGCUCGUGUCGUGAGAUGUUGGGUUAAGUCCCGUAACGAGCGCAACCCUUGUCCUUAGUUACCAGCACGUUAAGGUGGGCACUCUAAGGAGACUGCCGGUGACAAACCGGAGGAAGGUGGGGAUGACGUCAAGUCAUCAUGGCCCUUACGGCCUGGGCUACACACGUGCUACAAUGGUCGGUACAAAGGGUUGCCAAGCCGCGAGGUGGAGCUAAUCCCAUAAAACCGAUCGUAGUCCGGAUCGCAGUCUGCAACUCGACUGCGUGAAGUCGGAAUCGCUAGUAAUCGUGAAUCAGAAUGUCACGGUGAAUACGUUCCCGGGCCUU